GCCUCCUAUCACACCCAAUUUAGACCGUCCACAGUUACAUUACCACAAAUCCUAGUAUAAAGAGAGGCAGUUUUCGAUUUUUUGAUUUUAAUUUAAAUUUUUUCAAUGGCAAUUAUGAUUUCUUUUAUUACAAAAGUUGUUCAAUAUAUUCAUUUUGAUUUUGGUGGAUGUUAGUAGAUUUUGGUUUUAAUUUUAAUUUUUUCACUGGCCACAAGAUACUUUUGAUCUC
This 229-nucleotide long non-coding RNA is filed under the name Elaeis guineensis (African oil palm). RNAcentral describes it as "long non-coding RNA (EGUI_LNC002783)". The record is from RNAcentral. Lineage: Eukaryota; Viridiplantae; Streptophyta; Magnoliopsida; Arecales; Arecaceae.